GACGAACGCUGGCGGCGUGCUUAACACAUGCAAGUCGAACGGAAAGGCCCUGGUUUUGUGGGGUGGUGGGGGGGCGAAGGGGGGAGAAACACGUGAGUAACCUGCACUUGACUGUGGGAUAACCUAAGGAAACUGGGGAUAACACGGGAUAGGAGCUCCUGCCGAAAGGUGGGGGCGGGAUAGAUUCGGCGGUUGGGGGUGGACUGGCGGCGUAUCAGCUUGUUGGAGGGGUGGUGGCAUACCAUGGCCUUGCACGGUAGCAGGCCUGGGCGGGUCACCGGCCACACUGCGACUGAGAUACGGCCCAGACUCCUCCCGGACGCAGCAGUGGAGAAUAUUGCACAAUGGGCGGAGGGCUGGUGCAGCAACGCCGCGUGCGGGAUGACGUCCUUCCGGUUGUAAUCCGCUUUCGCCUGUGACGAGGCGUUAAUGACGGUAAUGUGUAAAGAAGCACCGGCUAACUACGUG
RNAcentral lists this ribosomal RNA (468 nucleotides) under uncultured bacterium. RNAcentral's name for it is "partial 16S ribosomal RNA". It matches the Rfam family "Bacterial small subunit ribosomal RNA", at positions 28 to 507 of the family's 1533-position model. The record is from RNAcentral.